UUCCAUAUCUCACAUUGAGAGAUUUUUAGUAUCGAUAUACCAUUGUCCACAAUACUAUUAUUCACAAUACCAUUAUUCACAAAAUCAGUACCACCGUACUCUCAGCACGGAGUCCGAUCACGACCCGAUCGGCUAGGCUAUCUCAUUAAAGACAUCAACCACAAUUACUCUCAAUAUCAAUACCACCGUCUUUAACACGGAGUCUGAUCACGACCCGAUCACUAGGCUAUCCAUUAGGGACAUCGACCAAAAUCACAAUUUCAAUUACAAUUUCCAGCACAAUCACCACCAUUUGUGCGGCAUAAUGUCCGAUCACGACCCGACCGACUAGGCUGUCUUAUUCGAGACAUCUAACCUUUUUAUAUCAAUCAUCGCAUUUCAUAUUACUUUCACAUUUUUUCAUUUCAUUGGCACUAAUGGCCAUAAUUAUAAGAUCAUUCUUGGCACGUUGGCCAUAUUCAGUAUUUUAUGCUCACCCUUUUCAAUUUCAAAUGUCGUCGUCAUCAUCAACAACAAAUACAAUUCAAAUCAAGGUGUGUAGCACACAUGUGAGCAAUUUAGAGUCUAAGGCACAUAGAGAUAUUUCACAAAAUUUGGCAUAAUAGCCUUCGUUUGAACUUGACUUGAAGUCGAAACAUUAUUAAUGCACAACCCAUAUUUUAACACACCCUCAAUUGAUAACAUAACAUGAAUAAAGCAUUUGGGAUAUAAGAGAACAGUUUAGCCAACAUACGUCACUUGAGCUUCCUUACACUCUAAAUGUUCCGGAAUUCUUAGCAACUUCAAUCUAUUGUAGAAAUAUAACAAAUUGAAUCAAAAUUAGGAAGAUGCUCAUGGUUCUAGCUCAUUUGAGCAUUUUAUCAAACACUAGGUGUGCAUUAAGGUUUCAAGGUCCUUUUAUGGAGGAUUCCAUCAUCCCACAA
RNAcentral lists this long non-coding RNA (923 nucleotides) under Nicotiana tabacum (common tobacco). RNAcentral describes it as "long non-coding RNA (NTAB_LNC001278)". The record is from RNAcentral. Lineage: Eukaryota; Viridiplantae; Streptophyta; Magnoliopsida; Solanales; Solanaceae.